This 589-nucleotide ribosomal RNA is filed under the name uncultured organism. RNAcentral describes it as "bacterial SSU rRNA". It matches the Rfam family "Bacterial small subunit ribosomal RNA", at positions 826 to 1428 of the family's 1533-position model. The record is from RNAcentral.
GGUUUGCAACUGGUUGAGUGUCGUAGCUAACGCGUUAAACAGGGCGCCUGGGGAGUACGGCCGCAAGGUUAAAACUCAAAGGAAUUGACGGGGACCCGCACAAGCAGUGGAGCGCCUGGUUUAAUUCGAUGAUCAGCGAAGAACCUCACCUAGGCUUGAACUGUAGCUGUGGUCAGCCAGAAACGGCUGACGUCUUCGAGAACGCUACAGAGGUGCUGCAUGGCUGUCGUCAGCUCGUGUCGUGAGAUGUAGGGUUAAGUCCCACAACGAGCGCAACCCCUAUCCAGUGUUACAAUUUCUCUGGAUACUGCCCUGUCAUAACAGGGAGGAAGGAGGGGACGACGUCCAGUCAUCAUAUCCCUUAUGUCUAGGGCUACACAGACGCUACAAUGGUUAUCACAAUGGGAAGCCAAACCGCAAGGUGGAGCCAAUCCCAUCAAAGAUAAUCUCAGUUCGGAUUGCAGUCUGCAACUCGACUGCAUGAAGUUGGAAUUGCUAGUAAUCGCGUAUCAGCACGGCGCGGUGAAUACGUUCUCGGGUCUUGUACACACCGCCCAUCAGGGCACGGGAGUUGCUUCCGCUCGAAGUC